CUUCACUGGUUCAGUUGUCGAGGCAUUGGGGAAUGGGAAUGGCGAUGUCUAUGUUCAGAACUCAGCCACCUGAUCCACGCUCUAGCUACUGUCAACUUGGAUGGUCUUUACAGAGGUCCCCGUAGUUGCCCUGUGAUCAAAGGUUGCCAAGGUGCAAAUAGUACUUUCAGUCUUCCCAUUCAUUCCCAGUGGAACCUUCUUCUCCCUAAGAAUUGUAUAUAAAAGAAUUGACCCCGAGACAAUUGCUUUCUUCACUGACAUUUGCAAAUGGAAUUGGAAACUUCCACCUUUGUAAUGUAGCUCCUUUUUCCAAGAAUUUCUGAUGGACAUGUACCAAGACAAGACAAGGAGACGGGCAGAAUUUGUAGAAGACUGUGUCUUGCAUGUAAUAGAAAGAAAGAGCAGUAGCUAGCCAAAAUAGAGACUGUUCUAGAAGUGAUCARAUCUCUGAGACAAUUUGAUUGUCCAGACUCCAGCCAAUUGCAGUUUACUUGAGGAAAACCAUCAAGGAGACCAUGUUGUUCUAGUGAAGUUGGAACAGCCAGCACUACCUGUCGAAAAAUACGAAGAGAGAUCGCUGCUUGGCUCUGGAUCCUUGUYGAACUAUAGCUCGAAACUUCUAAGGAAAUAAUGUUUCUACCUCAGGCCAUUCCAAYGUUUCAGAGGAAUCCAAGGAUGGUGUCUCCUCUUGUUCUAAGUGGUUGUAAAUCCCUUUCAUUAUCAUUUGCAACAGACACRGAUUUUAGUUGAAUGGUUGAAACUUGUGGGUCAUCUUUUAGCAGUUGCAGUGCCAUGGUAACCUUUACAUGAUUCCCUUUUAUUGACAGAUUAUUCUUUCCUACA
Molecule: non-coding RNA, 843 nt
Organism: Momordica charantia (bitter melon)
Lineage: Eukaryota; Viridiplantae; Streptophyta; Magnoliopsida; Cucurbitales; Cucurbitaceae
Source: RefSeq, a predicted model, not a curated record